This is a long non-coding RNA of Gasterosteus aculeatus aculeatus (three-spined stickleback), 992 nucleotides long. Lineage: Eukaryota; Metazoa; Chordata; Actinopteri; Perciformes; Gasterosteidae. The record is from Ensembl.
AAAAACAGUAACAAUUUGAUUGCAGCAAAUGGUCUGAAAUGCAUUAGACAUUAAUGGAAGACUAAAUGUAUUUAUUUUUAUUGUCAUCAGUUUAAUGUAGCCUAUAUAUUUUUUUCAUUUUGCUUGCAGGGAUAAUUUUAAAGCUCAAACUGACUUCCUACACUGCAAGUCCAUGUUCUCUCUAGGGAAGCUCGUUUUAAAUUCUGAGCAGUGAGCACGCUGUAAAAUGUGCUUUUACUUGUUUAUUAUUUUAGGAUAUUAUUCUGUAGCUAGUUAGCAACAUAUCUACGACAAAAAAAUGGCUAAUCUGAACAAGCUAGUAGUGUAGCUUGAGUCAACUUGAUUAAGGAAGUAGUCGUCACGUGUUAUCAAAGUGCAUUAUGGGGUUGGCGGGCGAAGUUGACUUCCUUUCCGUCCUUUUCGGACCAGGCUUCGGUAGCAUCAUCGGCUCAGACCGUUUUCAAGUUGUACGCAGAGUUCCAGCGGAUUACGAAUCGAAACCUGCUCAACACAUUCUAUGCUGAGCUUGACCGGCAUCAAAAACUGGCAAGACAGCAGAUGCUCUAAUUUAAAUUUUAAAAAUCCACGAUGAACAGGAAAUCAAUGACAUCCACACCAAGCGCACUACUGUUCUCCACGCCUUUCCUGUGUAUCUGUGCGAGGAUUUUUCAGAACCUGCACAGUGGACUCCAAUCAAGUUGGAGAAACAUCUCAAGGAUGAUCAGUGGAAACAAGAGGCACCGGAGCAAAAUUUUGAGUGUCAUGGCAAAUGCUGUGAAUACUUAUGUACAUGUUAUGUUUUCGUUCUUUAUUUUUAACAGAUUUGCCAAAUCUGCAAAAAACAGUUUUCACUUUGUAAUUAUGGGUUGUUGUGUGUAGAAUGUUGAGUGAAAUAAAGAAUUUUGUACUGAAAAAUAUUACGACACAAUCAACUCAUUACAGCUAGAGCUGUGAAAAGUUGACGUCAGCCACGCUGGCAACGGGAAGUGACG